GACGAACGCUGGCGGCGUGCCUAAUACAUGCAAGUCGAGCGAAGUUUUUCUGGUGCUUGCACUAGAAAAACUUAGCGGCGAACGGGUGAGUAACACGUAAAGAACCUGCCUCAUAGACGGGGACAACUAUUGGAAACGAUAGCUAAUACCGGAUAACAGCAUAAAUCGCAUGAUAUAUGUUUAAAAGUUGGUUUCGGCUAACACUAUGAGAUGGCUUUGCGGUGCAUUAGCUAGUUGGUGGGGUAAAGGCCUACCAAGGCGACGAUGCAUAGCCGACCUGAGAGGGUGAUCGGCCACACUGGGACUGAGACACGGCCCAGACUCCUACGGGAGGCAGCAGUAGGGAAUCUUCCGCAAUGGGCGAAAGCCUGACGGAGCAACGCCGCGUGAGUGAAGAAGGAUUUCGGUUCGUAAAGCUCUGUUGUUAGGGAAGAAUGAUUGUGUAGUAACUAUACACAG
This 459-nucleotide ribosomal RNA is filed under the name Gemella sanguinis. RNAcentral describes it as "bacterial SSU rRNA". It matches the Rfam family "Bacterial small subunit ribosomal RNA", at positions 28 to 475 of the family's 1533-position model. The record is from RNAcentral. Lineage: Bacteria; Bacillati; Bacillota; Bacilli; Caryophanales; Gemellaceae.